UCCUUUUUCAAAAUGGUUUUGACACCUUAAUGCUAGUUUGCCAACAGAGAUUCCGGCUAAGGAAUUCUGUUGACCGAGGGAAAGGUGUUAGGCACCCCUCGAUCCCGUGGUUUGACCAUGGUCGCUUGGCAGAGCGUAUCGGCUAACUUGACAUUACAAAUGCAUAAACCACACAAAGCACGCAAAAACAAUCACUCAAGCAAACAAAAUAAAAUAAUCUAAAAUAUAAUGUCCAGUCCAAUUAUACAGUCCCGAAAAAUGAAAAAUGCAAAAAUGUAAACCUAUUCUAUUCUAAAAUAAUCCUAAACUACUCCUAUGCUUUACCCGACGCCUCGGACCUUCAUCACGGAUGUCCUCUGAAUACAAAAUACCUCGAGCCGUUCCCCGGAUAAAAAUAAUACAAGUACUUCGGGGCAUUCCCUGGCCAAAUGAUACAAGUGAUCCCUAAGCAAUAUAGCCAAGAACCAUUCAAUCACACAAAUCGAAUAUUCCAUCAAUCCACAAUCCCUAAAUUCGCCUACCCGACCUAUGUUUCCUAUCAAGAUUUUGAUUUAAAAUGAUUCUAUCAAAUUCAUACUUAAUCCGAAUUAAAUAAAAUGACAACGGUCCAAAAUUUAACUCCAUUCAACAUUUUAACAACUUCUUAUUCCCACCCCGAAAUCCUUUUUCAACCAAAAACUAACACAUGCUUUGACUAUCAACUUAAUUUUUCAACUCGGAAUCCAAUAUAAACAACAUAGACCCAACGACAAUUAAAGCAUGAUAAUCAUACGAAUUUAACGUGAAUAACAUCAAACAUUCACCAACUCAUCCAAUUUCAAACAUGCCCAAUUCAACAAAUUACGAUAAAGAUGAGAGAAUGAGUUAAAGAAAAUGGACCUUCCGAUAAUCAAUUUUGGUGGGUAAUAAUAUUAAAGAAGACCCGCACUUGAAAUCUCAAAUAGAAAACCUCGAUUGCGAUGAAUCCAACUCGGUAUAGAGAAAAACUAAUCCAAAAUAGAGCACGAAGAACUGACUAACACAAAUCCAAACGCAGUACCCAACAUUGAAUGGUGUUGAAACCAAUUUCGGAUGAACAAAAAAGGGUAAGGUUACUGUUGUUCACCUGAGGGUCGUGAAUCGAUCCAGACAAGUUCCAAACCAGCAAGAAUAAACUCAAUUCGACCUCCUAAAUUUAUAAUUUCGAACAGAACUACGAACACAAAACUCCAAUACACGACAGAGCCAAAGGACAGUAUACCCGAGCUUCGGUGAGCUCAGGUGGCGGCAAAGAAGAUGAAUCGAGGUAGAUUUCGGUUACUUUUGACGUUUACCAACCGGGUUUGCCUGGAAAUAAAAAAAAUGAUGAGAGAGAAAAAAUGGAGAUUUUGGAAUUGGAACGAGGGAACGAUGAACCUAACUGAUCCCGGCAAAAUUUAGCCGAAAAAUCUCGAAGAAAUUGACCGGAACUCCCUCGAAGCUCUCUUCAUUUUUCAGUUUACUCACCUUAUACGCAUGUGAUUUCGUGCAUAGAUCUGCAAGAAAGAUGUGUGAGCUAUUGGAAUGGUGAGGAAGUUGUCCGUUAAUGGUGAGGUUAAUGGUGUAUUGUGUAGAAGAGAAAUAUGGAGAUGAUGAUGUGGGUUUGUAUAUUGUUGUUGUAUAUGAGGUGUGAAUCUGUGUGUUUCUUGUUCCCUAUGUGUGUAUGUAUAUAUGAAAGGUGAUAGUGUGAGGGGUCACGUGGGUGGGUAGUGGGGUAGGGUGUGGGGUGGUGAUGUGUUGUCCAAAA
RNAcentral lists this long non-coding RNA (1765 nucleotides) under Capsicum annuum. Its description in RNAcentral is "long non-coding RNA (CANN_LNC005821)". Lineage: Eukaryota; Viridiplantae; Streptophyta; Magnoliopsida; Solanales; Solanaceae. The record is from RNAcentral.